Molecule: ribosomal RNA, 394 nt
Filed under: Leiobunum curvipalpi
Lineage: Eukaryota; Metazoa; Arthropoda; Arachnida; Opiliones; Sclerosomatidae
Description: 12S ribosomal RNA
Rfam family: Microsporidia small subunit ribosomal RNA
Source: RNAcentral
UUCUUAAGGAGUAAAUUAAAGAAUUUGGCGGUGUYUUAUCCUAAUAGAGGAACUUGUCCUUUUAUCGAUAGUCCACGUUACACCCUACUUUGACUAAUGUUUAUAUACCGUUGUUGUUAGAUUACUUGGYUAAAUGAUUGGUUAGUUUUCUAGCUAAAUUUAUUUUGUGACUUCAAAUCAAGGUGUAGUUUAUGUUGGAGGUUGAGAUGAGUUACUGUGGUAAAGUUAUUGGUGCUAUUGGGAAGCUUUAGCUUAGAUUGGAUUUGUUAGUAAAUUUUUAUUAGUGAGAUGAAUUGAAURGGGGACUGGGACAUGUACAUAUCGCCCGUCACUCCAAUUUUAAUGUUGGAUAAGUCGUAACAAAGUAGAUGUAAGGGAACUUGCCUCUAGAUGC